Chlorocebus sabaeus (green monkey) is the source of this 1233-nucleotide non-coding RNA. Lineage: Eukaryota; Metazoa; Chordata; Mammalia; Primates; Cercopithecidae. The record is from RefSeq and is a predicted model, not a curated record.
GUACAAAUAUGGAAACAUCAUCAUCAAUACCCCUUACAUAUAUGCAUCACUUUGUGGUUAACAAAACACUUUCUAUGUCACCUAGAGCCUAUGAAUAGCCUGGGAAGAAGGCAGGGCACAUUUACAGCAUUUGACUCUUGGAGAAACUAGAGCCCAGUGCAGGGAGGUGAUCCACCCACUGUGUUUCCACAGGAGCAAAAAGCUGGAAAUGAUUGAUGUGGGCUGUAAUUGGAGAAACACUCAGUAAGUUAUAGCAUACUGUAGCCAUUAAAAAGAAUAAUUAUGAGGACUUUUCAGACCAUAAUCUUCAGACCAAAAAUGUUAAUGACAGAGGAGGUCAGAGGAUGCACGUUUUAAAAAGGUUCUGGCUUCUCAAUUCAGAUUAUGGCUACCAGAUGAUGGCUCUUGGAUUAAUACCUGCCCCCUGUGUCUUUCAUGGCGGAGUCCUUGGCCAGUGACUGAUCAGUAAUAAUGGGUGAGGAGAAGGAGGGUGAGGGCUCCCACAGGCGCUGUUCCUCAGACCUCACACAGAAGUCAGCCUGCUCCCUGAUCCAGCAGGAAGAAGAAUUCUAGUACUUCUCUGAACAUCACCCCCAAUGCCCCAUUGGAAUCUGCUCUAAGAAGGGAUCCUGGAAGAGAAUACCCGUUUGCUUCUUCAGGGGCAGGUCAUUUCUCUCCCUGAGUCCCAGCCCAGCUCACCUUAUACCUCUCCCUGCUCCAUGGCGCCUCUCCUAAGGCUGAAGCCUGGGAGGCCAGUCCUCAUGAUGCCUCUCUAUCGAAAGUACAGGUUCCUCUGGGAUUCAGAAAAGCCACCAAAUGAAUGGAGACUUCCCUGUCUCCAAUGCCAACCAGAACUUGUCCACCAGGUAAGAUUCUGUGGGUCGGGAGACAGACUGCUAAGCUCCAGCUUCACACCAGAGAGGCCAUUGUAUAGGUGGGUAUUGGACAGAGAACAGAGAACCCUGUAGUUUCCAUCUGAUCCAGUUAUCAAUUGUUGCAUAACCAACGACCCCAAAACUUAGUGGCUUAAAACAACACAAUCAUUAAUUUUGCUCAUAAGUUGAUCAUUUGGAUGGUGCUCAGUGGGGACAGUUCAUCUUUGUGCCAUAGGGCAUCAGCUAGAUCUGCUUACCUGAAACAUGCCCUUAAGAUUCUUAGAGGACCUUGGGAGGCCGAGGCGGGCGGAUCACGAGGUCAGGAGAUCGAGACCAUCCUGGCUAACAUGGUGAAACC